Molecule: non-coding RNA, 204 nt
Organism: Oryza punctata
Lineage: Eukaryota; Viridiplantae; Streptophyta; Magnoliopsida; Poales; Poaceae
Source: Rfam
AAAGAGCGCAGUUUUAUAUUGUUCAUGUUCAAUGUUUACCCGUUCGUCUUAUUUGAAUUUUUUUAUGAUAUUAUUUUUAUAGUUAUUAGAUAUAAAACAUGAAUAGUACUUUAUGUAUGACUUUUUUUUAAAAAUAUUUUAUAAAUUUUUUAAAUAAGACAGAUGGUAAAACAUUGGAUAUGGAUAUUCACGGCUGCACUUAAG